CCCAUUCUUGUCCCGGAGCCUUCCCAUC
RNAcentral lists this non-coding RNA (28 nucleotides) under Mus musculus (house mouse). The record is from RNAcentral. Lineage: Eukaryota; Metazoa; Chordata; Mammalia; Rodentia; Muridae.